AGCAGUCGCCGCGGUAAUACGUAGGGCGCAAGCGUUAUCCGGAAUUAUUGGGCGUAAAGAGCUCGUAGGCGGUUUGUCGCGUCUGCCGUGAAAGUCCGGGGCUCAACCCCGGAUCUGCGGUGGGUACGGGCAGACUAGAGUGAUGUAGGGGAGACUGGAAUUCCUGGUGUAGCGGUGAAAUGCGCAGAUAUCAGGAGGAACACCGAUGGCGGAGGCAGGUCUCUGGGCAUUAACUGACGCUGAGGAGCGAAAGCAUGGGGAGCGAACAGGAUUAGAUACCCCGGUAGUCCCUGUCUCUUAUAC
RNAcentral lists this ribosomal RNA (303 nucleotides) under uncultured bacterium. Its description in RNAcentral is "partial 16S ribosomal RNA". It matches the Rfam family "Bacterial small subunit ribosomal RNA", at positions 507 to 807 of the family's 1533-position model. The record is from RNAcentral.